RNAcentral lists this unclassified non-coding RNA (373 nucleotides) under uncultured fungus. Its description in RNAcentral is "partial contains 5.8S ribosomal RNA and internal transcribed spacer 2". The stretch from base 1 to 133 matches the Rfam family "5.8S ribosomal RNA", at positions 22 to 154 of the family's 154-position model. Lineage: Eukaryota; Fungi. The record is from RNAcentral.
UGGCUCUCGCAUCGAUGAAGAACGCAGCGAAAUGCGAUAAGUAAUGUGAAUUGCAGAAUUCAGUGAAUCAUCGAAUCUUUGAACGCACCUUGCGCUCCUUGGUAUUCCGAGGAGCAUGCCUGUUUGAGUGUCAUUAAAUUCUCAAUCCUUAUGGCUUUUAUAAGCUGUUGGGACUUGGAACUGGGAGUUUGCAGGCCUUAUAAAGGUCAGCUCUCCUGAAAUACAUUAGCGGAACUGUUUGCAGUCCCGUCACUGGUGUGAUAAUUAUCUACACUGUGAUGAUUGCUCUCUAGUUGUUCAGCUGCUAAUUGUCCAUUAUUGGACACUACUUAAUGAACCUCUUGACCUCAAAUCAGGUAGGAUUACCCGCUGA